GUGUCACUGGACCCCAGCGCUAAACAGAAGAGUCGUGCAGUGUUGUAAAGUUUGGCUUUAGCAGCAGAUUUCUAUGAAACCAAAGGUCGUAGCCUGCCAGAGCUAUGCAAUUCUUAUUAGAGGAUGGGCUGACUACCUGCCCCUAAUUCACCCAAAGGCACCCCUGAUUCGGAUGGAUUCGGUUCUCAAGCUAGCCUUAGUUAUGUCAACUAUGGCCUUUAAGACAGAACCACCUCAAACAACUUUCGGUAUCUGAAAUUUCCAUAACAUAAUGUACCGAGGAGCCUAUCGUCCAUGAGCAUUUAUACUUUUAAUUUUAGGGUGAUUUUGAUAUGAUGCAAAAAAGAUCUUGUAUUUAAUUGAUUGAGAGAGUCUGUUAGAUCUUAACAAUGUAUUUUAAUUAUUGUUAGGAUAAAAGAUCAUGUGAACAGCCA
Molecule: long non-coding RNA, 434 nt
Organism: Xenopus tropicalis (tropical clawed frog)
Lineage: Eukaryota; Metazoa; Chordata; Amphibia; Anura; Pipidae
Exons: 2
Source: RefSeq, a predicted model, not a curated record